AGCAGCCGCGGUAAUACCAGCUCCAAUAGCGUAUAUUAAAGUCGUUGCAGUUAAAAAGCUCGUAGUUGAAUUUCGGGGCUAGUAGGUUGGUCAUGCCUCUGGUAUGUACUGGUCUCACUGAUUCCUCCUUCCUGAUGAACCUUAAUGCCAUUAAUUUGGUGUUUUGGGGAAUUUGGACUGUUACUUUGAAAAAAUUAGAGUGUUUAGAGCAAGCUAACGCUUGAAUACAUUAGCAUGGAAUAAUGAAAUAGGACGUUCGAUCCUAUUUUGUUGGUUUCUAGGAUUGACGUAAUGAUUAAUAGGGAUAGUUGGGGGCAUUAGUAUUCAAUUGUCAGAGGUGAAAUUCUUGGAUUUAUUGAAGACUAACUACUGCGAAAGCAUUUGCCAAGGAUGUUUUCAUUAAUCAAGAACGAAAGUUAGGGGAUCGAAGACGAUCAGAUACCGUCGUAGUCUUAACCAUAAACUAUGCCGACUAGGGAUCGGAUGAUGUUAAUUUUUUAAUGACUCA
Molecule: ribosomal RNA, 508 nt
Filed under: uncultured glomeraceous AM fungus
Lineage: Eukaryota; Fungi; Glomeromycota; Glomeromycetes; Glomerales; Glomeraceae
Description: SSU rRNA
Rfam family: Eukaryotic small subunit ribosomal RNA
Source: RNAcentral